Molecule: ribosomal RNA, 497 nt
Filed under: uncultured bacterium
Lineage: Bacteria
Description: partial 16S ribosomal RNA
Rfam family: Bacterial small subunit ribosomal RNA
Source: RNAcentral
GACGAACGCUGGCGGCGUGCCUAAUACAUGCAAGUAGAACGCUGAAGAGAGGAGCUUGCUCUUCUUGGAUGAGUUGCGAACGGGUGAGUAACGCGUAGGUAACCUGCCUUGUAGCGGGGGAUAACUAUUGGAAACGAUAGCUAAUACCGCAUAACAAUGGAUGACACAUGUCAUUUAUUUGAAAGGGGCAAUUGCUCCACUACAAGAUGGACCUGCGUUGUAUUAGCUAGUAGGUGAGGUAAUGGCUCACCUAGGCGACGAUACAUAGCCGACUUGAGAGGGUGAUCGGCCACACUGGGACUGGGACACGGCCCAGACUCCUACGGGAGGCAGCAGUAGGGAAUCUUCGGCAAUGGGGGCAACCCUGACCGAGCAACGCCGCGUGAGUGAAGAAGGUUUUCGGAUCGUAAAGCUCUGUUGUAAGUCAAGAACGGGUGUGAGAGUGGAAAGUUCACACUGUGACGGUAGCUUACCAGAAAGGGACGGCUAACUACGUG